This is a long non-coding RNA of Homo sapiens (human), 513 nucleotides long. RefSeq lists it as uncharacterized. The record is from RefSeq and is a predicted model, not a curated record. NCBI's taxonomy places the organism in Eukaryota, Metazoa, Chordata, Mammalia, Primates, Hominidae. The transcript is spliced from 3 exons.
ACCAGCAAUCCUGAGAGGACCCACAGACCCUCUGAAAAAAGCGGACUGUUCCUGCAACACCCAGGAGACACCCCAAAUACUAUGAAGAAUCUGAGGCACAAAGAGGUCAACUGGCUUGCCCAAGGGUACUUGGCAGGUCUCAAAAACAUCUUCUACCAUAUUGGAACAGAAAAAAAUGAAGACAAUGAGCAUAUCCUCUUACACAUGACUUCUAUUGAAAUGUUUCCAAAUCUUAAAUGCUAUAAUAUUUGCUUUGUUCCUUAUCAACUUUUACAAACAAAUCUUUAGAAACUGCUUUACAAAAAUAAUAUAUGUUCCCAUUUAUUUAUAUGUUCAUUGCUUACCUCCAUUCACUAGAAUGUAAGCUCCAUGAUGGGAGAAAUACUGUCAGCAUAUUUUCAUUUCAUUGUAUAUCCUUAAUACUUUGAGUAAUGAAUAGAUGAGUGAAACGUGUAGAAUUUAGUAAGUAUAAAUAUGCAAAAAUAAAACUUUCAAUUUAACGUACCCAUUUUA